Molecule: ribosomal RNA, 254 nt
Filed under: uncultured bacterium
Lineage: Bacteria
Description: partial 16S ribosomal RNA
Rfam family: Bacterial small subunit ribosomal RNA
Source: RNAcentral
UACGAAGGGGGCUAGCGUUGUUCGGAAUCACUGGGCGUAAAGCGCACGCAGGCGGAUCGUUAAGUCAGGGGUGAAAUGCCGAGGCUCAACCUCGGAACUGCCUUUGAUACUGGCGAUCUUAGAGUCCGGGAGAGGUGAGUGGAACUCCGAGUGUAGAGGUGAAAUUCGUAGAUAUUAGGAAGAACACCAGUGGCGAAGGCGGCUCACUGGCCCGGUACUGACGCUGAGGCGCGAAAGCGUGGGGAGCAAACAGG